Molecule: ribosomal RNA, 301 nt
Filed under: uncultured bacterium
Lineage: Bacteria
Description: partial 16S ribosomal RNA
Rfam family: Bacterial small subunit ribosomal RNA
Source: RNAcentral
CAGCCGCCGCGGUAAUACGUAGGUGGCAAGCGUUGUCCGGAAUGAUUGGGCGUAAAGGGUGCGUAGGCGGAUUGUUAAGUCAGGGGUGAAAUCCCUAGGCUCAACCUCGGAACUGCCUUUGAUACUGGCGAUCUUGAGUCCGGGAGAGGUGAGUGGAACUGCGAGUGUAGAGGUGAAAUUCGUAGAUAUUCGCAAGAACACCGGUGGCGAAGGCGGCUCACUGGCCCGGUACUGACGCUGAGGCACGAAAGCGUGGGGAGCAAACAGGAUUAGAUACCCCCGUAGUCCCUGUCUCUUAUAC